UUAUGUGCCCAUGCAGGAACAGUCCUAUAACCAAAGCCCACUGCAACACAGCAAGGUUACUAAUUUAGCUUUUCUUUGGAACCUGUAGCUGAAGCUGGUGACAUGGGCUGGAGUCUGUGGAUUCCUCCUUAUUCUCUGCCCCAAGUGGUUAUCAAGCCAAACAGAAGCAUCUUUUCUACUGGAAGUGGAAAGUAUCCCUGAUUUGGAAUGAUGUAGUAGCCUUCAAGACACCACAGAACACCUGCAUUCCAGGAAGAAUAAAAACUAAAUGGUUCAGGGUGAUGGAACCUGAGAGGAUCUUUUCAGAUCUGAUCUCCCUUACACAAGUUCCCAACCCACUGGCACUUUAUGGAUCUCAGUCUUUCAGGUGCUAUGAAGCAGCAAAAUAAGUUGCACCACUUCUCUGCUCUGACAGAGGUGCCAAUUGUGAAACAGCAAAAGGUACAGUUUAACAGUAAGUAAUGCAUGAAGAAACUAUAACAAGUGUCCUAAAUAUAGAGUUGGACAGAAUCAAACCAAUUAUGUCUAUAACUACUCAAUUGAAACUAAUGUAGGUACAUUCAAAAUAAAGUUGGAGAUUAUUAGUAUUUUGAAUCAAACUUGAAGAUUUUCUUGAUAAACUAUAAAUAUGUUCUUUUGAAAUUGGAAAUGAAACUAUCAAUUGACAAUUGAUGGAGAGCUAGAGACUUAAGUA
Molecule: long non-coding RNA, 694 nt
Organism: Galeopterus variegatus (Sunda flying lemur)
Lineage: Eukaryota; Metazoa; Chordata; Mammalia; Dermoptera; Cynocephalidae
Exons: 3
Source: RefSeq, a predicted model, not a curated record